RNAcentral lists this ribosomal RNA (447 nucleotides) under uncultured bacterium. RNAcentral describes it as "bacterial SSU rRNA". It matches the Rfam family "Bacterial small subunit ribosomal RNA", at positions 355 to 825 of the family's 1533-position model. The record is from RNAcentral.
UCGGGAAUUUUGGGCAAUGGGCGAAAGCCUGACCCAGCAACGCCGCGUGAAGGAUGAAGUAUUUCGGUAUGUAAACUUCGAAAGAAUAGGAAGAAUAAAUGACGGUACUAUUUAUAAGGUCCGGCUAACUACGUGCCAGCAGCCGCGGUAAUACGUAGGGACCAAGCGUUGUUCGGAUUUACUGGGCGUAAAGGGCGCGUAGGCGGCAUGACAAGUCACUUGUGAAAUCUCUGGGCUUAACCCAGAACGGCCAAGUGAUACUGUCGCGCUAGAGUGCAGAAGGGGCAAUCGGAAUUCUUGGUGUAGCGGUGAAAUGCGUAGAUAUCAAGAGGAACACCUGAGGUGAAGACGGGUUGCUGGGCUGACACUGACGCUGAGGCGCGAAAGCCAGGGGAGCAAACGGGAUUAGAUACCCGCGUAGUCCCUGAGCGGGCUGGCAAGGCGCAU